CAGCUGUUAAAACCCAGCGCCAACAUAUUUCCGGUGAAAAGCCUAAGGCAGUCCUGGCCCGAGCUCCCCGCCCGAUGUGCACCGGGCCUCGAGGCGGGACCCUCUUGUAUGUCCCCCACUGCCGAGGGGCGUGUUCACCGUGCGGGUGCGUCGUCAAGCCUGAUGCCGCGCCGCGGCGGAGCUCCAGCGCCGUAGGCCCUCGCGCCAGGCGGCGAUUGCCCUCCGCCCAGGCCUGCAGCGUCAGGCGGCGCCCGAACCACACUCUCCGCGUACCUGACCCUGUUGCUUCCCCGGGGAGAUCCCCGGGGGAGGUCCCCGAGCACACAAUGCCGCCCAACCCACCCGCGCCCCAUCCGCCUGAAGGCCAGCGCGCCAAUCAAGAGGGAAUCAGACAGGAAAAGAAAAAACUUUCAACAACGGAUCUCUUGGCUCCCGCAUCGAUGAAGAACGCAGCGAAAUGCGAUAAGUAAUGUGAAUUGCAGAAUUCAGUGAAUCAUCGAAUCUUUGAACGCACAUUGCGCCCCCCGGCAUUCCGGGGAGCAUGCCUGUUCGAGCGUCUCGGGGAAUACUCCUCACGCCGGUGGAGGCGUGGUCAUGGCUGCGGUGGCGGGCCCGAGCGGGCGGCCACCGCGCUGGAAUCCAUGGGCGGACGCCUGCUGCGUGGCCGAGCGUGAUAUGACGCAUCGGCGCUUGCGCGCGGCGAGGCUGCCGGCCCUGGCCCGCUUGUCGGGCGGGGAGAGCAACACAUGGGAACUCCUCGAAUCAGGUAGGGAUACCCGCUGAACUUAAGCAUAUCAA
This 798-nucleotide ribosomal RNA is filed under the name Helvella maculatoides. RNAcentral's name for it is "eukaryotic LSU rRNA". The stretch from base 406 to 559 matches the Rfam family "5.8S ribosomal RNA". Lineage: Eukaryota; Fungi; Ascomycota; Pezizomycetes; Pezizales; Helvellaceae. The record is from RNAcentral.